AGCAGCCGCGGUAAUUCCAGCUCCAAUAGCGUAUAUUAAAGUUGUUGCAGUUAAAAAGCUCGUAGUUGAAUUUCGGGGUUAGUAGGUCGGUCAUGCCACUGGUAUGUACUGGUCUCACUGAUUCCUCCUUCCUGAUGAACCGUAAUGCCAUUAAUUUGGUGUUGCGGGGAGACUGGACUGUUACUUUGAAAAAAUUAGAGUGUUUAAAGCAGGCUAACGCUUGAAUACAUUAGCAUGGAAUAAUGAAAUAGGACGUUCGAUCCUAUUUUGUUGGUUUCUAGGAUUGACGUAAUGAUUAAUAGGGAUAGUUGGGGGCAUUAGUAUUCAAUUGUCAGAGGUGAAAUUCUUGGAUUUAUUGAAGACUAACUACUGCGAAAGCAUUUGCCAAGGAUGUUUUCAUUAAUCAAGAACGAAAGUUAGGGGAUCGAAGACGAUCAGAUACCGUCGUAGUCUUAACCAUAAACUAUGCCGACUAGGGAUCGGAUGAUGUUAAUUUUUUAAUGACUCAUUCGGCGCCUUACG
Molecule: ribosomal RNA, 522 nt
Filed under: uncultured Glomus
Lineage: Eukaryota; Fungi; Glomeromycota; Glomeromycetes; Glomerales; Glomeraceae
Description: SSU rRNA
Rfam family: Eukaryotic small subunit ribosomal RNA
Source: RNAcentral